RNAcentral lists this long non-coding RNA (3078 nucleotides) under Lactuca sativa (garden lettuce). RNAcentral's name for it is "long non-coding RNA (LSAT_LNC009792)". Lineage: Eukaryota; Viridiplantae; Streptophyta; Magnoliopsida; Asterales; Asteraceae. The record is from RNAcentral.
GUGAAGGCCUUGAUAAGAUUUAUCCGGGUGGGUCUUUUGACCCGCUUGGAUUGGCUGAUGACCCGGAAGCUUUUGCUGAAUUGAAGGUUAAGGAGCUUAAAAAUGGAAGAUUGGCGAUGUUUUCUAUGUUUGGGUUUUUUGUUCAGGCUAUUGUUACAGGGAAGGGUCCGAUUGAGAAUUUGUUUGACCAUCUUGCUGACCCGGUUGCUAACAAUGCUUGGGCUUAUGCUACCAACUUUGUGCCCGGAAAAUGAGUUGNAGAAACGGAUUUGGGAUAUAUAACAAAAGCUGUGAAAAAUAACAGGCUAUACCGACGACAUGUCGUCGGUACAGCUUCGCAACAGUAAAAACAGUUUUCACCUUUCCAGAUGACAUAUCGUCGGUAUUACACACAUUUUUCCCGACGACAAGUCGUCGGUAAGUCCCAAAUAAAAAAAUUUCGUAUUUCCUCGAAAAUCAAUCCUGACGACUUGUCGUCUGGAUUGGUUAUUCUAUACCGAUGACUCCUGUCCCGACAACAUUUUCGACUUUUAACGACGACUUUUUACAGACGACAUGUCGUCGGUAUAAGCUUUACCGACGACAGUACAGGGUCCCUAAUUGUCGUUUGCAUAGGGCUCGAUCCUUGUAGUGGUGGUCAAGGCCAUCAUAGGCUUCAUAAUAAGUAGUGAAGAAUUUGCGCCACGUAUCAUAAUUGUGUCGACUGCGAUAGAGAAGGAUGGGUAUGUGAGCCUUAAUAUUUGUAACAACAAAAGCUUUAUGAAUUUGAAGAGUAGUACUCAAUCUGCAUCACCUUCUUCCACUGUAUGGUGUUGUAUGGUGUCUUUCAUCCUAAUUCCUAAGGCUUUCAGAUAAGUUUCUACUUCUUCAUUUUCAGCAUCAGUAAGUAAUUUACUGACAGAGAAUAUGUAAACUCGUGCUUUGUAUUCUUAACGGUAAUGAGGAAAAUGGAGAAUCAGACUCCACAACUCAACAUGUUAAAACUAAAGCACUUACAAAUGGUAACGAUCGAAUUUUGGAGUCACUACAUGAUAGUGGAUUUCACACUCAAAUUUUAACUAGUACAAAAUUAACUUACAAAAUAGAAUGAAAUAAGUAAUUAGUAACCAUUAAAGGUCGUCCAUUUCGUUUGUGAUUAUGAAACAAGAUGAAAUUGUUAAGUGCUACAGAAUAAAAAAUUUUGAGAGUUCAAACACUUGCACCAACAAAUUUUAUUUUAUUUUAUUUCUUUUUUCAUUGUGGAAGACUAAUAAUCAAAUCGCACUUCAUUUCCAAAUCAGUGGUCUAUUAGAAAUUGGUCUUUUUCUAUUUUCCUUUUACACUUUCAAUUUCUCAUUGGUGAUUUUCGUGAGGUCGUGUGAAUUGCAGAUGAAGAAGCAUAUGCAUCUCGUUGUUGAUUUUGAAUAGGCUCUUCAACCUGUAAUCUACUAUAUUAUUCGUUUUUAUUUUUGGUGGCUGAGAAUCAACGCAUCAAGAAAUCAGAGAACCACGUGGCAGAAAGAAGGACCGCCAUAUCACCUCUCAAAAUCAGAAACCAAAUCCAGUAAACCAAUGAGAUGAUGCUGACUUGUACUCAACCUAAUCCAUCCAUCUUAUUAAAUUCCUUAUAUAACCCUCCAUUACUCUCCACCACACACAUCAACUACAAACUACCAUUUCUACAAACCCCUCAAAAGAAAUGGCAACCACCGCAAUCCAACAGUCAGCAUUCGCCGGCCAACAGGCCUUGAAGCCACAGAACGAGCUCGUCCGGAAGACCGGCAGCUUCAAUGGCGGCCGCUUCACCAUGCGCCGCACAGUCAAAAGUGCACCGCAAAGCAUUUGGUAAAACUCACAAAUCGAUGUUCUUCUUGUUUCCAAAUUCAUAUAUCGAUACCAGAACUAACUAACUGUAAUCACCAUCUUUAAACAGGUAUGGACCAGAUCGUCCAAAGUACUUGGGCCCAUUCUCGGAGCAAACCCCAUCAUACUUGACCGGUGAAUUCCCCGGUGACUACGGGUGGGACACCGCCGGACUUUCGGCUGACCCGGAGACAUUUGCCAAGAACCGUGAGCUCGAAGUGAUCCACUCUCGGUGGGCCAUGCUGGGUGCACUCGGGUGCGUCUUCCCCGAGCUUCUCUCCAAAAACGGUGUCACAUUCGGUGAAGCAGUCUGGUUCAAGGCGGGUUCCCAGAUUUUCUCAGAAGGUGGCCUUGACUACCUUGGAAACCCUAAUUUGAUCCAUGCCCAAAGCAUUCUUGCUAUCUGGGCAUCUCAGGUUGUCCUCAUGGGGCUCAUUGAAGGAUACCGGGUUGGUGGGGGUCCGCUUGGUGAAGGCCUUGAUAAGAUUUAUCCGGGUGGGUCUUUUGACCCGCUUGGAUUGGCUGAUGACCCGGAAGCUUUUGCUGAAUUGAAGGUUAAGGAGCUUAAAAAUGGAAGAUUGGCGAUGUUUUCUAUGUUUGGGUUUUUUGUUCAGGCUAUUGUUACAGGGAAGGGUCCGAUUGAGAAUUUGUUUGACCAUCUUGCUGACCCGGUUGCUAACAAUGCUUGGGCUUAUGCUACCAACUUUGUGCCCGGAAAAUGAGUGUAAAUUGAAUCCUUUGUAAAUUCGAUAACUGUUAUGCAACAUUACAAGAUGAAAUGAAGCUGUUUUGUCGAGAAACUAUUGCAUUUCAUAUGAUAUUCCGUAUGAAUUCAUUAUUUCGCAAAGAUGCUAAAAGAAAAUUCUAUAAUUUGCAAUAACAAACUAUCUUGGAGUAACUCGGAAAAUGUAAUAGAAACAAAUCAUUGUACUUGUAUUAUUUUUUGAAAAAAUCACAAAAAUAGCCUUAGCCAUUUUUGUGAAUGACAUUUCAAGUUUUUAACCAAAAAUUAAUCAUUUUUAAAAAAUAGUCAUCAAAAUUGCAUGUGGGUGCGUGUGAUUUCAUGCCCCUCAUCUUUGAUUUCAGAAAAUGGGUUAUAAUUUUGAUACAUAGCGCAUAGUAUUUAACUCCUAAAAUUAGAAAUGUAUCCUAAUUUUCAUACUUUCAGGUUAAAUAAAUUUUCUCUACUCUCUCCGAUGGCUCAAAAAGGUUUUCCCUCCUAUAACUUUGUAAAUU